This 71-nucleotide transfer RNA is filed under the name Candidatus Woesearchaeota archaeon. Its description in RNAcentral is "tRNA-His". It matches the Rfam family "tRNA". From Rfam's summary of the family: Transfer RNA (tRNA) molecules are approximately 80 nucleotides in length. Lineage: Archaea; Nanobdellati; Candidatus Woesearchaeota. The record is from RNAcentral.
GUCGCAGUGGUGUAAUGGUAGCAUUUUAGACUGUGGAUCUGAAUGUGCGGGUUUGAUUCCCGCCUGCGGCC